GCUAAGAGGGCUAAACCAAGCCAACUCAUCACUAUGGGGUUAACUGUUAAGUGGUAGAUUUUAAGAAACAUUUAAAGUGUUAAUCUCUAUAAUUUGUUUCCUCUCUCCUAACUUUUCACCCUUACAUAGUCCCGUUAUAUAUAAGUUUUUUGAUUUUCUUAACUUCAUUUGCAGUAAUCGUUAUCGAUAUCAAUAUAAAACUGCCUAGUAGAGUGCAAGAAAAAUCACAAUAACAUGAUGUAAAAUUGCAUUAGAUGUGAAUAUACGGUGAAUUAUUCAAUGCUCCGGGUGCAUGAUCCAACCCUAUUACAAAUGUUUGGAGAUGGACACUCACAUUCACGAGGGUUGACUAGUGCCCUCGAAUAACUUUACAGUUAGUGGUUUUAAUUUACUCUCCACCCAGAAACAAAAAACAAAAAAGGAUCCAAAAGUCCUACUGUAACUUAUCCAAAAGUCUUACUGUAACUUAUCAAAGCUUUUAAGCUUCCCAAAGAUUGUCUGAUCACCCACAAAAAAGUGCUAUAAUUCGCCAAUUUCUAUCCCCAAUUUAUUUCACCAUAUACACAACCAAAUAAAAAGUUAAUUUCCAUUCAAAAUAAUGGGGGAUUCAAUCUCCCAGAACGACUGAAUUACAAAGCUAAGAGUCCUCUUUCUGGGAUCCCUCUUUCUGCUGGGCAGCAGGAGAAGUUCAAAACGACGGCAGUGCAAUACAAAUCACUGAGGAAUACUAAACCAAACUAAAACCGAAUAAACAGUUUCCAAAAUCAUAACCUCAGCAUUGUAUUCAUGAACUACAUCCGAUGGUAUACAAAGCACCUCAUUAUUGUAUCUCUCUU
Molecule: long non-coding RNA, 836 nt
Organism: Rhododendron vialii
Lineage: Eukaryota; Viridiplantae; Streptophyta; Magnoliopsida; Ericales; Ericaceae
Exons: 2
Source: RefSeq, a predicted model, not a curated record